AUCUAAAAUCAAGAAAAUUUCACCUAAUUCUAAAAAUAUGGAUUAAUCCUACAACAAGACUAAUACAAAAGAAUUGAAUACAGAAAGGCUUUCCGGAUCCAAGCAAAGCCUGAAUACAGAAACCAGGUCAAACAUGAAAUCGUUCCCAGCAGCCCGAACUCGUUUCCUCAUCAUCUUCAAAAAACUUCAGAAAGGCCUAAAACGCGAACCAGAGCUUGCCGAAGGAAAUUGCUGAAGGCGUCACAUUCGAGCCAGAUGUACGCUCCUAAACGCCCUUCAUCGGCGAUGAUGACGGAUUUUCCUCGAUGACAUAUGAUAGCAAACGGAUAUUACCGAGGGACUCGAUUCAAACUCCAUGGAAGAAUCACACGAAUCCGCUUCCAACUCAAGGUUCAAACGUAAUCGAAAUCGAAAAUGGAAUUUGACGCGUCGCUCUUGCGCGUGAAAAUAUAAGCCAUUGAAAAAAUGAAGAACAUACCAGAUUUUGCAACCAAGGAUCUUGCGUGAGUUGCAUGGAAGAUGAAGAGCGAAGACGACCAACCAUUUUCUCCCGAAAGAAUGGCAGAACUUAGGAAUCGAUGAUGACAACGAUGAAAAAUAAAGAAGACAGUUGCCAAUAAGGGGAAUUUUGGUUGCAGAUUGAUGAAGUUCUGUUGCAGAGUCGAAAUGGAAUGGAUUUUGUGCGUUCUUGCAAUGAAACAGAUUGAAGAAUGGAGAAAACUUGAGGGUUGAAGAUUGAAGAGAAUUUGCAGAUUGAAGCUUGAAGAAAAGUGAAGAUUGAAGCUUAAAUCGUUAAGGUCGGAUCAUGAAUGAACUUAAUUGGUUAAUGGAGUGGAGGAAGCUUCUGUUGUACUAGAAAAACUGCAGGAUGGACAUGAGGACUUUGGAAAGGGUUGUCAAAUAGCAAGACAUGAGACAAAGCAAAUGUGGAGGCAAGGCAUUCAAGGCAUGGCCUAACCACAUUUGAUACAAAAUGUGAAGUUUCUCCUUCAUGGAGUUUUAUGCAAGAAUAAAGAUAUAAUGGGUACUAGGGUUUAGGGAUGAAAAACAAUAUGGAAGUUGACUUUGAUCAAAUGGUUGACCAAAAAGUCAACAGUUGACUAAAAGUCAACUUUUGUAGAAAUUACUUUUUUUGUAUUUCUUUUGUAUGAAUGAUGUAACUUGUAAUACAUGAAUGAAAUGGACACUUGUAUGCAAA
Long non-coding RNA from Lathyrus oleraceus (garden pea), 1198 nucleotides. RefSeq lists it as uncharacterized. Lineage: Eukaryota; Viridiplantae; Streptophyta; Magnoliopsida; Fabales; Fabaceae. The transcript has 4 exons. The record is from RefSeq and is a predicted model, not a curated record.